This 424-nucleotide ribosomal RNA is filed under the name uncultured prokaryote. RNAcentral's name for it is "bacterial SSU rRNA". It matches the Rfam family "Bacterial small subunit ribosomal RNA", at positions 355 to 796 of the family's 1533-position model. The record is from RNAcentral.
UGGGGAAUAUUGGGCAAUGGGCGCAAGCCUGACCCAGCCAUGCCGCGUGAGUGAUGAAGGCCUUAGGGUUGUAAAACUCUUUCGCCGGUGAAGAUAAUGACGGUAACCGGUAAAGAAGCCCCGGCUAAUUUCGUGCCAGCAGCCGCGGUAAUACGCAUGGGGCUAGCGUUGUUCGGAAUUACUGGGCGUAAAGCGCGCGUAGGCGGGCUAUCAAGUUGGGGGUGAAAUCCCGGGGCUCAACCCCGGAACUGCCUCCAAAACUGUUAGCCUAGAGGAUGUGUGGAGAUAGUGGAAUUCCGAGUGUAGAGGUGAAAUUCGUAGAUAUUCGGAAGAACACCAGUGGCGAAGGCGACUGUCUGGCACAUUUCUGACGCUGAGGUGCGAAAGCGUGGGGAGCAAACAGGAUUAGAUACCCGCGUAGUCC